UACAGAGGUCUCAAGCGUUGUUCGGAUUCAUUGGGCGUAAAGGGUGCGUAGGUGGGCAGGUAAGUCAGUGGUGAAAUCCCCGAGCUUAACUUGGGAACUGCCAUUGAUACUAUUUGUCUUGAAUACUGUGGAGGUUAGCGGAAUAUGUCAUGUAGCGGUGAAAUGCUUAGAUAUGACAUAGAACAUCAAUUGCGAAGGCAGCUGGCUACACAAAUAUUGACACUGAGGCACGAAAGCGUGGGGAUCAAACAGG
Molecule: ribosomal RNA, 253 nt
Filed under: uncultured bacterium
Lineage: Bacteria
Description: partial 16S ribosomal RNA
Rfam family: Bacterial small subunit ribosomal RNA
Source: RNAcentral